GUACACAACACGAUCACAGCGACAUAUUCUUACGUUUAUAUCCGCCAUUUACCUUCUGUCUAUCUAUGGAUUUUUCUAUGUAAAUCUCUCUUCUUUCACAAUUCUCUUUCGUCGGUUUCAUACGUCAAAACCCUAUUAAUCUCCGCCGAUCGCCCAACCUCUCCUCAGAAUAAUUAGAAGAAAAAAAAAGCAACCGCUUUUUGCAGAACUGUUGUUUUUAGAUUCCCGGAUACGGCUUGAUCUAGCUCUUCUGCUAAUCCGGUAUAAUGGCUUAUUCUCAGACAUACCAUACAAAAGGUGGUCCUUUGCGUGGUCAGUACAGAUUCUCACAUGGUAGAAACCAUGCUAAUAACCACAAUGCCACACUUGCUCCCAAUACCUACAACAACACCAAGUAUUUUGACUAUAGCUUUACACAUCAAGGAGAUAUUGAUCAUCCAAAUGAUAUCCGUAAAAACUUUAUGGAGUAUGGCUACAAUUACAAUAGUAAUUGUGUGAAACCUGAGGUUGAACCUUCUGCAAAGAGAAGGAAGUGCUUAUCUUCUUCAUGGGGAAGUAGUGCGAGUUACCAUCAGCAACUCCAUGCAUGUAAUAACGUUCCACCAAGACAACCAAGCACACAUAACAACAUGCAUCCAAGGAAUCAGAGUGCAUAUGAUAGUGUCACCUCAAUAUGCAACAAUAAUUCCAGUAUUGCAAUUUCCACUACUAGUACCAGUAAUAGGUCUUUUUCCAAUGGGCAUGCCUCUAAUAACUACAAGCGUGGCCGCUCAGAAUUUGAAGAUGAUGACAGUGAGGUGGUUUUUAUGUCCAGAGAGGAAAUUGAGAGGUGCUCUCCUUCCAGGAAAGAUGGUAUUGAUGCUGUGUGUGAAAUGCAUUUGCGAUAUUCGUAUUGUGCAUUCCUGCAGACCCUUGGAGCUCGACUUGAACUGCCACAAACAACAAUUGGGACUGCCAUGGUUCUCUGUCACCGGUUCUUUGUCCGUAGGUCUCAUGCUUGUCAUGAUAGAUUUUUGGUCGCUACUGCUGCUCUCUUCCUAGCUGCUAAAUCAGAAGAGACUCCAUGUCCUCUCAACAACGUGUUGAGAUCAGCAUCUGAGAUUUUCCAUAAGCAGGACUUUUCUUAUUUAUCAUAUACACUCCCAGUUGACUGGUUUGAGCAAUACCGAGAACGGAUUACUGAGGCUGAGCAAUUGAUCUUGACAACUUUAAAUUUUGAGCUCAAUGUGCAGCACCCAUAUACUUCUCUUACCUCCACACUUGAGAAAUUAGGAUUUUCCCAAACAGUUUUGGUGAACUUGGCACUAAACUUGGUCAGUGAAGGGGUCUUUAGAAGGAUUAUCUUGGUCGCUUGUAUGAUAUUGUUAGCUGGCGGUUGAUAUGCUGUUCAUCAAAUGUUUUGUUUUUCAUCUGAAGUUAAAACUAGCCAUUUCUUGUGGAUGCUUUUUUCCAUAACAUGUAAAUAGCAAUUCAUUGGCUGUAGAAGAUAGUCACAGAUGCUCCAGAAGCAGUUUUGCCAUGACACUGUUUUUCACGUCACAAGGAAGAAACCUACUGUGUCCUCGUGCACUAAUUUCCAUAUCCCCUAUUUUUUUGGUGUCCAGAUAGGACAAUGAUAAAUAGGGCAGUGAACCUGAAAAGGUGUAGAAGAUAGUCACAGAUGCUCCAGAAGCAGUUUUGCCAUGACAUUGUUUUUCACGUCACAAGGAAGAAACCUACUGUGUCCUGGUGCACUAAUUUCCUUAUCACCUAUUUUUUUGGUGUCCACAUAGGACACUGAUAAAUAGGGCAGUGAACCUGAAAAGGUGUUUGGUGAGUUAUUGGCUUGAAAAUUUUUGGGGCACUUAAGGCAAGUGUUUAACAGCCCUAGUAUAGCAAUAGUUUAUAUUGCAUAAACUAUUACACUGGGCUUCUUGCAGGGAGUAGUCAUUUAUUUGUGGGGUUUAUUGGCUGAUGUAUGGGGACUUGGGGUGAUUGAGAAUGGUUCUUGAAUUGAGUAGUAGUUUUCCUUUGGGGGUGGGGAGAUGCGUAACUAUUAUACUGAGCCUUUGGAUAGGAAAAGUGCCUCCAUUGCUUUAGGUUUGUGCCUCAACAUCUUAUGUAAGCUUCGACAGCCAAUUAGGAUCCCUCAAGCAAGGUGUUGUUGGCUGAGUAUCAUGUGCUUCGCAGAUGUUUUACUUGUCUCUAACAAGGAAAGAGUUGGCUCACUUGUGUACAUAUAUGUUAUUUAUACAUUCCAAAAAGAAAAGAAAAAAAAAAGAUAAGAAAUUUAUCAGGUAACUCCAUCCUGCUGUUUGUAGAUACUAGUGCAUACGGCAGUUGGCUACGUAUGAUGUGAUAGUGUUUCUAAUUUUGCAUCAUUGCCUGCCCUGUAGACUUCGGUUUAUUUCUAGUACUAGAAAACUGUGUUAGGAAAGGUCAUGAAUGAUUUCAAAUUGGGGUGUUCUGUUCAUGAGUAGAAGAUGAGACGGUCUAUCCCUCAGACUUGUCAACGUACCCUCUUAGCCCUUAUGUCUGAAUUGUGUAUAUUUCUGGGGUUGAUAUACUGCUGCAGCAGAGCUGGGACUGGGAGUUGGUGCACUCUCUAGAUGCUUAUAACAUAUUUGCUAUAUUCUUGGUACUCUAUCGACAUUCUGCAGAAGAUUCUUGGGUUUAUCCAUCUCCAUUGCUGCUCUGUUAGUUGGUAAGGGAAAAUUGUUUCGGUUUGCUUUUUGACUUCCAUACUUGACUUGACGCCUUAAAAAGUUGUUUGGCGAUAAUGUUACCUGUAUCAGACUUAAAUGAUUUUAAUUGUUCGUUGGCAAGAAGUAGUACUCCCAAAAUUACUAGUUCUCAUGUUUUUGACGUGGCAAAUGUGAACUGAAUGUAACGUCCCUCCUAUUGUUGCUGCAAUUGAUUUGGUUGGUCAUUUAUCCCGUUCUCCUGGAUUAGGUGUUAAUUCAUUCCACCGCUCUGUAUGUCUAAACCUCGUCUCUGCUUUGCAUUGCAGGCUUAGAAGUUCGUUAUGGCUUCAAUUCAAACCGCAUCAGAUUGCUGCUGGUGCCGCUUAUCUUGCUGCAAAGUUCUUAAAUAUGAACAUGGCUUCAAGCCACAAAAUUUGGCAGGAGUUUGAAACUCCGCCCCCUGUACUCAAAGAUGUUGCGCAACAAUUGAUGGAGCUCUUUUAGCAUGCCACAAGAGAUCAAAUAGCUAGAGAUUAUAGUUUACCUUGCAUCUCUUACAGUGAUUCUUCUUGCUUCCAAUUACAGCAGCUGUGCUUCUGUUCCUGUUAACUUGUUUUGUAUAGUGUCCAUUUUGAAUGCUAUGAUGAUAUGUUGUAAAGAGGAGUUGAUGGACAUUGAAAUCUCUGUUGGUGUUGUGUGUUUUGAUUUCAAAUUAUUUACAAUUUACGUGAAA
Molecule: RNA transcript, 3396 nt
Organism: Ipomoea nil (Japanese morning glory)
Lineage: Eukaryota; Viridiplantae; Streptophyta; Magnoliopsida; Solanales; Convolvulaceae
Gene name: cyclin-T1-4-like
Exons: 7
Source: RefSeq, a predicted model, not a curated record